Molecule: ribosomal RNA, 279 nt
Filed under: uncultured bacterium
Lineage: Bacteria
Description: partial 16S ribosomal RNA
Rfam family: Bacterial small subunit ribosomal RNA
Source: RNAcentral
UGCCAGCAGCCGCGGUAAUACGGAGGGGGCGAGCGUUGUUCGGAAUUAUUGGGCGUAAAGGGCGUGUAGGCGGCUUGGCAAGUCGGAGGUGAAAUCCCUCGGCUCAACCGAGGAAUUGCCCCCGAUACUGCCGGGCUUGAGUCCCGGAGAGGGUAGCGGAAUUCCCAGUGUAGCGGUGAAAUGCGUAGAUACUGGGAGGAACACCCGUGGCGAAAGCGGCUCACUGGAUCUCUUCUGACGCUGAGGAACGAAAGCUAGGGUAGCGAACGGGAUUAGAUA